This 651-nucleotide long non-coding RNA is filed under the name Physcomitrium patens. Its description in RNAcentral is "long non-coding RNA (PPAT_LNC005756)". The record is from RNAcentral. Lineage: Eukaryota; Viridiplantae; Streptophyta; Bryopsida; Funariales; Funariaceae.
UAGUAUAUUUGGUACUAAGAUUAAGUUGAGAGUAGGAUUGGGCUAAAAAAUCCUUAGGAUAGGUUAGAUUGAUACUCGGGGGUUGACCAUUUGUGAGACAGGGUCAAAAUUAGACCUCUAGCCACUAAAACGAUGGCUUAGAGCAAAAUAGGGAUUCAUUCAAAGAUCAAAGGAUAGGAUUUGAGAGCUAGCUUGAAGUCCUUUCUAGAGGCAUAAUUAUUAUUUUUUGAGGAUUUUUGAGGACUUAGUAAUUGUUGUUCAAAAUCAAGAUUUGUAUUGGUGAUUUGGAUUUUAUAUAAUAUACUUAGGACUAGUAAUUUUGGCUAGUUUGUACAAUUGGUGUAGCAUCUACAGUUCAAAAUUUAAUACUAUUUGGAUUAUUAGGUGCGCUAAGUAUAUACAAAAAAUUUUCAUAAUCUAAUAGUAUGGUUUAGCAAUAUGUGGUCUUUAGCAGAAGAGGGUUUUGGAAGUUGGCACUUUGGGGUUGGAUAGGAUUUCUAUGAUAUCUAGAGUUCUACUAGUUGGAUUAAGGUUAAAUUUGGCAUGGUAUUGAAGGACUUAAAGAUCAAGCUGCAUACUAAUUUUGAAUUAAAGUUAAUAAUUGGAGAAGGAGAAAUCACUACUUGGAUUUUUGCUUUACUUUUCAAGUUG